GAUGAAGAACGCAGCGAAAUGCGAUAAGUAAUGUGAAUUGCAGAAUUCAGUGAAUCAUCGAAUCUUUGAACGCACAUUGCGCCCCCUGGAAUUCCGGGGGGCAUGCCUGUUCGAGCGUCUCAGGGACGAACCCUCGCGCGGGUGUACGCGCGGUCGUGGCUGCGGUGGCGUGCCCGAGGCGGCGGCCACCGCGCUGGAAUCCAUGGGCGGACGCCUGCCGCGUGGCCGAGCGUGAUAUGACGCAUUGGCGCUCGCACGCGGAGAGGCUGCCAGCCCUGGCCCGUCUGUCGGGCGGGGGAGAGCAAGACACGUGAACUCCUCGAAUCAGGUAGGGAUACCCGCUGAACUUAAGCAUAUCAAUAAGCGGAGG
This 370-nucleotide unclassified non-coding RNA is filed under the name soil metagenome. Its description in RNAcentral is "partial contains 5.8S ribosomal RNA, internal transcribed spacer 2, and large subunit ribosomal RNA". The stretch from base 1 to 120 matches the Rfam family "5.8S ribosomal RNA", at positions 35 to 154 of the family's 154-position model. The record is from RNAcentral.